CGAGACCUUUGCAGUAGGAAAGGAGAUCUAAAUUAGUUGUUUGAAUUCUUAUACAUGUAUCUUUGUAGAAUUAUUUGCUCGAAAAUCCAUGUAAUUAUGACUGUUACAUCUCCUGUACCUGCAUGGAUGUACCUACACGGCUUGUAGAUGUUACUGUUGUGAUCUGCAAGUGCAUUUUAAAUGUAGACAGAUUUUCGCUAUGUAGAUGGACUAAGUAAAGAGUGAUUCCCUUUUUGUUCUUGUGGUAGAUUCAUUCACUGAAUAUUGGUGGGAGGAAUAAUACUGAAUCUUGGUGUAGAAUUCAAUUUGGGAGCCUUUCCCAAGAUUUGUCAUGCAUGUGUUCUUGGGAUGAAUAAUACUGAAUUGUGGUACAUGGACUAAGUAACUACUCCAGCCCUAAAAGAGCCUGUAAUUUGCCAUGCAUGUGUUGUAGAAUUCUUUUUUCUCAAAAGCACAUGCACAUAUUCAUUUUCCAUCCAUGUGCUGUUGACAUAUCAUGAAAUGAGAAAUGUAUGCACUCUGCUGCAUUGAAUGUUUUACUUUAUCAUGUGUACUGAAAUUUGCAUAUACUUAUUUUAGGUGAGAGCAUUUACACCAUGCAUGAAGUUUAAGCAAAGUAUUUUACUGAGCAGGACUAGGACUGCAGGAGAAGAGGUCACGAUCUUAUCUUUCAUAUGACUUUCCACACAAUUGGUGCUAAUUUUCUUCUCUCUGUUUUUCAGUUGUUCUACUGGCUGACACAUCCAUCUAUUGGCGAUUAUUUGGCUAUCAGUUAGGAACUGUGAUAAAUGCUACAUCAGUGAUUUAUGCAUCUUCACAGUUUAAUAUGCGAGAAGCUUAAAUUGAGGAUCCCCACGAAUCGAUUUUGACUCAGGUAAGUUUACUAAAUUGUUCAUGUUUACCAUCUCAUUAGCUUUACAACAGUGCACAAUCAGGCUAGGGUAGCGGAAACCAUACCGAAGUCGUGUUGUGCUGACUUGGCGGUGAUGACACCGUGUCAUUUGUGAUGCAUGGGAUCAAGCCAAUCGGUGCGAAUUGGCGAGGCAGGGACUAUCAGGCCAUGGCAAUGGAUUCAACUUCGACCAUCUUCAUAACUUCCUGUACAUCAAAGUACAGAAUAGAUUAAUCAAAUGGAAGCAAACUAGAAACUAACUUAACAAUAUUAUCCUUUGGGCAGUGUGCAACUUUCACAGAUAAUAUGCUAUCAUUUUCUUACGUA
Molecule: non-coding RNA, 1219 nt
Organism: Lolium perenne
Lineage: Eukaryota; Viridiplantae; Streptophyta; Magnoliopsida; Poales; Poaceae
Source: RefSeq, a predicted model, not a curated record